GGAAAGUGUAGGAGAUUCUGUGGGCAACAUUUCCAACUGUGAUGUUUGAACUCCAACCUAUAGGGAUGUGGAGAAACGAAAACAGUCGUAUUGAAAACUGCAUUUCUACAGUCGGGAAGGAUGCUGAUCGACCAUGGAGAGUCCGAGGAGUAUACAUGAGCCUGAUGCAGAGAAAAUGAGUAAGAAAGCUUAGUGAAAUGAUAUGUGGUAAAUUGGAAAUAAGCAUAUGAUGUCGAACUCUCACCAUACUCAUCAAUUGGAGCAUCAUAGUCAUA
This is a long non-coding RNA of Momordica charantia (bitter melon), 275 nucleotides long. RefSeq lists it as uncharacterized. Lineage: Eukaryota; Viridiplantae; Streptophyta; Magnoliopsida; Cucurbitales; Cucurbitaceae. The record is from RefSeq and is a predicted model, not a curated record.